CGUGAGGCCCUUCCCCCCCACCAUCGCUGCCAUCGAGGAGCAUUUACUCAGUGAGUGGAAGAGGUUUGUUUGAAAGAGACCGCAAUGGAGAGACCAGCGCCCAGGGAAGCGAGGGAACAGCAGGCUCCUUCUAGCAACGCAUCGAGAUGCAAAUACUUGAAGGACCAGGAUGAUGUUGUAUUUCCUCGGUGCAAAGCCAAGUCUGACCAGUUACUUCUAAUAAUCAGCAGAAUGUGACCAGCUCUGCCAAGGUGGCAAGUGGAUGACAGUCUCAAAAUGUCCUUGAAUGGAUUGACUUGCUUGGCCUGAAGGCAAUGAAGAGUUCACAAAAGGGUAGGAGUCAUGGACAGAGCAGACCCGGUAAGAACGGCAAAUUUCACUCUCAUAAGGGCCAUCAGAGACAGGUAUGGGAGUUGGCCAAAUGGCCCCCCGAGCCUGCUCCACCAUUCAAUAGGACUGUGGUUGAUACACCAUUCUUCAUGUCCAAUUUCCUGCCCUUUCCUUUGAUUCCCGGCUAAUUAAGAAACUGUCAAUCCCAGCCUUAAAUCUGCCUUCCCCCUGCUGCCACAAAUACACAUGUUCUCUGUGGCAAGAAGUACCAAAGAUUCCUAGCUCCCUUAGAGAAGAAAUACAUUCUCAUGUCAGUCUUCACUAAUGAACCAGAUGGUUCUUUGUUCCUGACAAUGGUCAUCAUUCGAGUCUUAACUCCAGAUCUGUUUUGUUUAAAGUUGAAUUCAAAAUCCAUCACCUGACACAGCAAGGUUCAAAUUCAAGUCCUCGGAGUAUACCCUGGACGUCUGACAGAAUUAGAUAUUACCUCCCGAUUAGUUUGAAAUUGAAAGUGAAUCUUAUCAAAGUGCAGUGCUCAGAUCAGAAUAAAUUGCCCCGCACUAUUGAGCUAAACAUUGACAGUAGUGGAUUCCCUACAGUGUAGAAUUAGGCCAUUGGCCCAUCAAGUCUGUACCUACGCUCCGAGGAACAUUCCACCCAGACCCGUGCUGCUAACUGUCCCUGUAACCAUGCAUUUCCCAUGAUUAAUCUCCCUAAUCUACCACGCCCGGACACUAUGAGCAAUUUAGCAUGACCAAUCCACCUAACCUGCACAUCUGUAGACAACGGGAGAGGACUGGAGCCCCCGGUGGAAACCACACAGACAAUAUGAGGCAGCAGUGCUAACCACUGAGCCAUUGUGUUGCCCAGUGUUUUCCCCAUGUAGGGCUUGGUUAGCUCAGUUGACUGUCUGAUUGUGCUGAAAACAUGUGGUUUAGUUUCUGCACUGGUUGAGAUUGCUGUGAAUGAUCGUUCCCCUAUGCCUUAGAUGUGGUGACCCUCAGGUUAGACAGUAAAACAAUUGUUGUUGCUCUUCUCUCUCUCUCUCUCUCUCUGUAAUGUGACAACAGUGAGUCUACAUGAGCCCUGCUAAAAACGUAACUUUGCUGAUUAAAAAUGAACUGCCAGCUUUUUCACUGCAAAAUAACUUCGGUGUUUCCUGCCUGAUGCAACAUCACAGUGAGCUGUAAAUAAAAGAAAAGACAUUUUAAUGACAAAAUGUAUCUAAAUGCACGGGGAGAGGGUGUAGAGGCAGAUUUACCAGGAUGUUGCCUUAGACGCUGGAGUGUGUCACUGAUGGAGAGAGAUUGGACAGACUGGGGUUCUUUAUCCUUCGAGCAGAGGAAAUUGAGACGCUGGACAUGAUUGAGAUCUAUCAAAUGAUGAGGGACCAUUGGUUGGGUAAGCAGAAAGAAACUUUUCCUCCUUGAUGGAGGGACCAGUGAGGGAAAACGUUUUCACCCAGAGACUGGUAGGGAAUCUGGAACUCGCUACCUGUGAAGAUGGGAAAGCCAGAAACCCACAUCACAUUGAAGAAGGAUUUUGAUGUGCAGCUGGGAUGCCAAGGCAAUGGGCUAAGUGCUGGGGAAAUGGAAUUAGAGAAUAGUGAGGUGGUUGUUUUUGACUAGCACAGACGCAGUGGGCCUUUUUUUUUGUGCUGGAGACCUCUCCGCCACUAUGGCUAGCUCACUUUGAGAUGUGUGUUCUACAUCCAGUAUACUAUUCAAAUACAAGGUGAUUUUGUCCAAUUCAUUUUCUGAGGUAAGGGGUUUGUCUUAUGAAGAGAGAUUGAGCAGUUUCGGCUGGUAAUCUCUGGAGUUUAGAAGAAUGAGAGGCAAUCUCACUGAGGGAUAUAAGAUGGAAAGGAGAAGGAAAGAGAAUGCUUGCUCAUGAGGGACAAUCUGGAACAAGAGGUCAUCAUUUCAGGAGAAGGGGGUGGGACAGAUUGAAAACAGAGAGAAGGAGGAAUGGCUUCUCUCCCAGGGAGAGAGGGAUGUGAAUCUGGGGGAUUUGCUGUGCUGUGGGUACAUACUGCUGUUCCCGAGUGUGUGGGGAAUGUUGGGACACUGAAUAAAUUAGAGGAGGAGACACACAGAUUUGUAAUCAAUGAUGGCUGAAUGGAAGUGGGGGCAGGAAACUGGAGCUGAGGCCAAGAUGGGUCAGCCUCGCUGUAUUGAAAGGGGCCGCCAGCACCCAAGAGGCUGAAUGGUCUUCUCCUACUUCUAGCCCAUAAGUUGUAUUGGUCAUUCAGUUUCCUGCGCACAUUUUAGUUUGGGUGGUACAUACAGUAGGGACAGAAAGCUCUUAUUCUGAGGUGCUAAAGUGUGUAAUCCAUUACAGGUCACUCAGUAAGAGUGAAUCUAAGAACCAUAUGAUAACGGAGCAGAAUUCGGCCAUUUGGCCCAUCAAGUCCGCUCCGCCAUCUGAUUGUGGCUGAUAUGUUUCUAAAUCAUAUUUUGCCUUCUCCCCCUGAUCCUUGAUCCCCUUACCAAUCAAGAACCUAUCUAUCACUGUCUUAAUCACUCAAUGACUUGGCCUCCACAAUCCUCUGUGGCAAUGAGUUCCACAGAUUCAUCACACUCUGGCUGAGGAAAUUCCUGCUCAUCUCAGUUCGAAAGGGUCACCUCUUCACUCUGAGGCUGUGCGCCUCAUGUUCUAGUGUCUAUCCAGGCAUCUCAAUAUUCUGUAAGUUUCAAUCAGAUUACCCCUCUUCCUUCUAGACUCCAUUGAGUACAGACACACAGUCCUCAACCACUCCUCAUCAGACAUGACCUUCAUCUCUGGGAUCUUGUAAAUCUCCUCUGGACCUCCCUACAAGGCCAGCACAUCUUUCCUGAGAUACAGGGCCCAAGUCUGCUCACAAUAUUCCAAAUACGGUCUGACCAGAGCCUUAUACAUCUUGAGCAGUCAAUCUCUGCUGUUGUAUUCUAGCCCUCUUGAAAUGAAUUCUAAUGUCACAUUAACUGCCAAAUGAACUUGCAUAUUAACUUUAAGGGAACCCUGAACUAGGACUCCCAAGUCUGUUUGUGCUUUAGAUUUCCGAAGCCUUCCCCAUUUGGAAAACAGUCAAUGCCUCUAUUCCUACCCAAGUGCAUAACCUCACACUUUUCCCCCCAUUGUAUUCCGCUUGUGAUUUCUUUGCCCACUCUCCGAGCCUGCCCAAGCCCUUCUGCAGCCUCUCUGCUUCCUCACCAUUACCUGUCCCUCUACCUAACUUUCUGUCAUCAAAGAAAUAGGAGAUAACAAAGCUCGCCAUGUGAACGAUUUUCAGGAAUAACCAAUUAGUUCACUACUGCCCGUUCGAGAAGCAAAUCUGCCAUCAAUACUUGGUCUGGCCUGUACGUGACUCGAGAUGCACAGCAAUGUGGUUGACUCUUCACUGCCCUCUGUGCAAUUAGGCAUGGGCAAUGAGUGCCGUCCCCAGCCAGCACCACUCACAGCCCAAGAACAUCUAAACAGAUAAUAGGAUGGAAUAUCAAGGUGGCAGAUUAAUCAUCCAUUUUAAUACAACACAAAAAAUAAUGCAGAUAAAAUGAAGAUUGGCCGGGUGAUUGACAGUGAGGAGAAGGUGUUAGGUUACAGGACUAUUGGUCAGAUGGGCAGGCCAGUGCAGAUGGGGUUGAACCCUGAUAAAUGGGAGGUGAUGCACUUUGGCAAAAGGAAGACAAGGAAGAACUCAAUGAAAGGCAGGGCACUACAAAGCUCAGAGGAACAGAAGGAUGUGAGGGUGUUUGUACACAGAUCCCUGAAGGUGGCAGGACAUGUUGAUAGGGCAGUUAAGAAGGCACAUGGGACACUUGUCUUUAUCAGUCAAGGUACAGAUUGUGAGAGCAAAGAGGUGAUGUUGGAGCUGGACAGGACUUUGGUGAGGCUGCAGGUGGAGCACUGUGUGCAGUUCCAGUUUCUGCACUAUAGGAAGGAUGUGAUUGCACUGGAGGGGGUGCCAAGGAAAUUCACCAAGAUGCCUGGGAUAGAGAAUUUAAGCGAUGAAGAGAGGUUGGAUAGGCUCGAGUUGUUUGGAGCAGAGGAGGCUGAGGAUGGGCCUGACAGAGGUGUGUAAGAUUAUGAGGGGCAUUUACAGGAGGGAGAGGAACCUGCUGUUGCCCUUGGUUGAAGGGUCAAAAUGUUGAGGGGAGGGGGGUCAUCAUUUUAAAGUGAAAGGGCAGGAGGUUUACGGGGAGAUUUGAGAAUUGCUUCACCCAGAGAAUGAUGGGAGUCUGAAAAGCACUACUUCGGGGGAUAGUUCAGGUGGGACACUGAAAUAAACUCUAAAAUGUUCUUGGUCAACCAACUGUUAUGUCAUAGUAUUCAAGGCUGUUAUCCUUGUGGGGGGAGGUGGGAUUAGUUUAGCUGGGAUCGUGCAGAUUGAUGGGCUGAAGAGUCUCUUCUGUACCAUCUAUAACUACAGCUCUAUCACUCAUUCACUAGAGUAAAGGGGAGAGAAGCUAAAAUAACUUGAAAGUGAAAGUAGUUGAUUGAUUCUGCUCAACAGGAUCUCGCUAUCUGUGUCAUAACAGUGAGCACACGGUGGGAGAUGGUGACGCUGGUUUUCCACUGCUUCUAUUAUCACCUGAGCCCUCAGCAAUGUUUAGGAUGUGACAGAGAGUACAACGUGACCUCAUAAAGGAUAUGGUCCAGAGUCAGACGAGGCCCAGUUUAGAAUGAGGCCCAGAGGAGGAUGUGGGCCAGUACAUAACCCAGUGUACAAUGUGUCCCAGUGUAGGAUUUGUUUAAAUUUAGCAUGUGGCCCAGUGUAGGAAGUUUCCUAGUGUAGGAUGUGUCCCAGUUUAACAUGCGGCCCAAAUUAGUAUAUUUCCAAAUUUCAAAUGUUUCGCAGUGUGGAUGUGGCCCAAUUUAUGAUGUAGCAACACAGUGUGGAGAUGGAGGAACACCACAGGCCAGGCAGCAUCAGAGGAGAGGAAAAGUUAACUUUUUGGGUCGGGACCUUUCUUCAGAAAUUGGGCAGGGGUAGGGAGCUGUAAAUAAAUAAAGGUAGAAGUUAGGUGGGAUGGUGAUGGUUUGAUGCAGGUAGGGAGUGGUGGGGAUUGGUCAAUGGCAUGGGUGGGGUGCAUAGGCGUGAAGGAAGAUGGACAGCUUUAGGGUGUGGCCCAGUUUAGGAUUAGCCCAGUUUAGUAUUGGUCCAGUUAGGAUUGGCCCAAUACAGAAUGUGGCCAGUUUAGAAUGAGGCCCAGUGUAGAUAAAAGAGGUUGAGGAGUGACAUUGCUAAUCAGGGAUGGUAUCACAGCUGUAGAAAGGGAGAUCACCACGGAGUGUUUCUCCUCUGAGUUAGUAUGGGUGGAAGUCAGGAACAGAAAAGGAGCAGUCACUUCAUUGGGAGUGUAUCAAUUUUCUCCAGGGCUUUUCCAUUUACCAUACAGUUUGCUCUUGAAUUGGAUCUUCCAAAAUGCAUCACCUCGCAAUUGCCUGGAUUGAACUCCAUCUGACAUUUCUCCGCCCAACUCUCCAAUAUAUCUAUAUUCUGCUGCAUUCUCCGACAAUCCCAUUCACUGUCUGCUACUCCACCAAUCUUAUUGUCAUGUGCAAAAUUUUGUCUGCCUUCAAAAUUUUGACAUAUUCUGCAUUCAUUGAUUUCUGACGAAACAAAUCCGGAAGAUUCACAGCUGACUGAAAGAAAGAGUAAAAUUCCCAUGUAGUGGUUUGAAAUAGAUGCUUCCCAUUUUCAGAAGGAAUGACCUCUUCAUUCUAGUUGACCCCACAAUGCGGUAUAUCCACUCUGCAUCCACCCGGUCACAUCCAGUAGAGACCUUAAAUGCUUAAAUUAAGUCACCUCUGACACUGUUAAACUCCAGAGGACAGAGGCCCAACUUGACUUUGCGUUGCUCAUAAGCCAGAGCUGAGACUGAAACCUGACCAGCCAUAGAGCAGCUUGACAGCCUGAGUGGCCUUUCCUUGUUCCUUGUUUCUACCGUAAAUACGCACGUAAAGCAGAUGAUUGGCAACAGGGACUGGAAGGCAUAGUGAAUGACCCUUUCCACUUUGAUGGAUUCGACAGGAUAGGGUGAAAGUAAUUAAGACUCAGAGUUUGUCUUUGUUUGAAAUAAGGUGCAAUUGGGCACAAAGUCCUCUCAAACAUAACGUUCGGUGCAGAGUUGGCGGGAUGUGGGGAGUAGUGCAUAUCAAUACACAAUUUCACACCAUAACUCACAAUCAUACUAAUGCCAGCUGGUAGAGCGAGUUUUGAAAAGAUUUGUAGCUCAGGUUGAGUUUCUGGAUGUGAGUUUGCUGGCUGAGCUGGAAGGUUCUUUUUCAGACAUUUCAUCACCAUUCUAGAUAACAUCAUCAGUGAGCCUCCGGUGAAGCGCUGGUGUUAUGUCCCGCUUUCUAUUUAUCUGUUUAGGUUUCCUUGGGUUGGUGAUGUCAUUUCCUGCGUUGGUGAUGUCAUUUCCUGUUCUUUUUCUCAGAGGAUGGUAGAUUGGCUCCAAAUCAAUGUGUUUGUUGAUGGAAUUCUGGUUGGAAUGCCAUGCUUCUAGGAAUUCUCGUGUGUGUCUCUGUUUGGCUUGUCCUAGGAUGGAUGUGUUGUCCCAAUCAAAGUGGUGUCCUUCCUUAUCUGUAUGUAAGGAUACGAGUGAUAGUGGGUCAUGUCAUUUUGUGGCUAGUUGAUGUUCAUGUAUCCUGGUGGCUAGCUUUCUGCCAGUUUGUCCAAUGUAGUGUUUGUCACAGUUCUUGCAAGGUAUUUUGUAGAUGACGUUCGUUUUAUUUGUUGUCUGUAUAGGGUCUUUUACAGUGUAAAAUGUGGCUCAAUUUAUAAUGCGGGCCAGUUUGCAAAGAGACCCAGCCUAGUCAACAAAGUGGUUAAAUCUCUAUGGAGCAUGUGGGACUUGUAACCAUGUCUCAGAGCAGUCAUGCAUCUGGCUGAAAGGUGGACCAAAUGGGUGGAAUGGCCUACUCUUGUUCUAGUUUCUUCUGGACCUGAUGGUCAACAUUAAAAUCUGGAGAGGCAGAGAAUUCACUCAUUUGGGAAGUGGUAUCACAAGCCUCCGGGCAUCGCCGUGACCAUCAGGACUCAAUGAAUCAAACAGCGUGCAGUAUGAUAUAUUGUGUGGUCUCUCUCUGCAAAAACGGUUGUAGUUCGACACAGAAUACGGACAUCAGCACUCAGCGUUUACGUACCGAUAGUCACCACUUCCAAUGGUUUACUUCGUGGAGAGUGGCUCAGAUAGCUGACUCUUUGACACUGGUAAGAGCUUCCAGUUUUCCUGUCAGCUCUUUUAUUAAAUUCACUAGAUAUAGCCUCAUAAUUGUUGUUUUUAUACCAGGAAUCUUUUAUAUAUGUGUUUCUGUACCGACACUUCCAAGUGAACCACUGCCCUUCUUUGAUGAUGCCAUCACUGGGAUUAGUUAUAACUACUUCUGGAUAUUGGCCUGCAGAAGAAAAGCAGUAGUUAUUUCCAACAAGCAAAACUCCAAUUGAAAUGUUUCACUCUUCAUCACAAUUAAUGCAUUUGCUGUUUCUAUCCAAUGCAAAAAUACACAGUUGGUCAAUUAAUCAGUGAUUCUACUCUCCACAGCCUGCCCAAUACCAACAAGGCACAAGUUAGGAAUGAGGGAGUACUCCUGACUUGCCUGGCUGGGUGCAGCUCUAUUAACACUUGAGAAGCUUGACACUAACCAGGGUGAAGGAGACCCCACUUGAUUGGUACCACAUCCACAAACAUCCACUUUCUCCACCACUGACGCUCAGUAGCAGCAGUGUCUCCCAUCUACAAGAUGCACUGUUGAAAUUCACCAAAGAUCCUCAGGCUGCACCUUUCAAACUCACAAUUACUUCCAUCUAGAAGGACAAUGAUAGCAGCUACAUGGGAACACCACCCCCUGCACAUUCCCCUUCAAGCCACUCACCAUCCCAACUUGCAAACAUAUCAGUCAUUCCCUCAGUGUUGCUGGGUCAAAAUCCUGGAAUUCCCUCCCUAGGGACAUGGUGGGUCUACCUACAACAUGUGGGCUGUGGUGGUACAAGAAUGCAGCUCACUACCACCUACUCAAGGGGCAACUAGGGUUAGGGGCAAUAAAUGCUGGGCCGAGCCAGUGACACCCAUGUUCCAUCAAUAGAAGCUACCUUCAAUGGGAUUCCAUCUCCACAAGGACUGUGUCGUGGUCACUCUCACCGAUACUGUCAAGGACAGAUGUAUUAACAACUGACAGAUCGGUAAGGAUGAGGUCAGGUAUGAUUUUUUCCCUCCUGUUGGUUCCCUCACCACCUGCCGCAGACCCAAUCUUAUAGGAACGUCCUUUAGGAUCUGACCAGCCCGGCUAGCAGUGCUGCUGCCGAGCUACACUAGGAGGUGGGCAUUGAAAUCUGUGCUUCAUCUCAGUGUCUUUCAACAUGGAGGUGUUACUGAUUCAUCAGCCAAGGGAGGGCGGUACGUGGUAAUCAGUAGGAGGGUUCCUUACCCGUGUUUAACCUGAAGCCACGAGGCUUCACGUUAUCCGGAGUCAAGAUGAUACCUGCCAAUGUAACUGCUGCCUGACUGCAUACCACUGCAGCAUCACCUCUUCUGGGUCUGUCUUGCCGGUGGGACAGGACAUAUCCAGGGACGGUGAUGGUGGUACCUGGGACAUUGACAGUCAGGUAUGAUUCGAGGAGUCUGACGGUGACCCUCCCAAUUUUGACACUGGCCCCCAGAUGUUAGUGAGGAAGUCUUUGCAAGGUCAUCAGGGCUGUUUAUGCUGUUGUCUUUUCUGAUGUCAGGUCAAUCCUGGACGAUCCAUCCAGCCUCUUUUCAUUGUGCAGACUUCAUGGCGAUAGAUAUAACUGAAUGACUUGUUCAGCCAUUUCAAAGAACAGUUAAAGGGUCACUGGAUUCAAAGUGUUGACUCUGUUUUCCUCUCUCUUUCUUUCUCUCUCCACAGAAAAUGACAUAGCUGCUGAGUUUCUCUAGCACUCCUGUGUUUAUAACCUGUAAUGUUAACUUUGUUUUUCUCUCUCUCUCCACAGUCCUGCUAAGAUUUUGAAAUUUGUCACUCUGGCUUUCCUGCCCUGAUUGUUGCAAGAUCAGAAACUUCAGACAGAAUCUGUUCAUUUUUCAGGUACAGUGCUGCCAAGUGACUAUUGACAAAGAUUCCCAACUUCCUGAAGUGGCCUGUAUCCUACUUACAGAAGUAUUCUAUUCGGGAUGGGGGAUGGCAGUCACCAUCAAAAGAUAAAUGUUCACUGUAACAGCUGGUACAAAGUACAGCUUUCAGGUGAUUUUGAAUGUGAAAAAGAAACACAUCAUUGGUGCAUCAGUUACAGAUCAUGGUCAAUUCAGCACAGUCUAACUAGAUCAUUGGGCUGCUCUCUGAUCAGAGAGAGAUGACUGAAUGGUGACUUGACCUGAGGCUCACCACGCCUCAGGCCAGGGAGAGGUUGAAAGGGAGAGUCCUUCACAGUAACUGCAUCCGGUGUAGGAUUUGAACCCACUCUGUUGCCGUUUUAAUGCAUGACAAAGCAGCCAGCUCUCACAGGGCAGAAUUUCUGCUUUUUUUGAAGUAGCAUCUGAAGCUAUGGGGGUCUCAACAGACUUGGAAGCUUGAAGAAAUGUCUCCUGGCUGCUACUCUCUCUGAAUUUUCUCUCGAUGUUUACUGCUUCUGGAUGGAAAGAACUGCCCAUGAGAAUCUGUGUCUGAAUUUUCCUUUUAUUUUGCCAUGGGGUUAAGGGGAUGUUACAGUCUUGAAAGAGUUUAUUAGAAAUGUUUACUGCAUCAAUUAUUCUGCAAUAUUUCCAAUAUAAUUGUUAUUCUUAAGUCCUCUUUCUUUUGUUGCAUUUUAA
Stegostoma tigrinum is the source of this 10100-nucleotide long non-coding RNA. RefSeq lists it as uncharacterized. The transcript is spliced from 3 exons. The record is from RefSeq and is a predicted model, not a curated record. NCBI's taxonomy places the organism in Eukaryota, Metazoa, Chordata, Chondrichthyes, Orectolobiformes, Stegostomatidae.